GUGAGGAUACCGACGGACUGGAUCCUGGCGCUCGAAAUACCGACGCCGGAAUCCUGGCCGCAGCUGGAACGCGAUCCUUCUUUCAGCGGGGGAUUGUGAAUAGAAUUUAGCUUUUCAGUCUUUGAAGGGGGAUGUGGUCGGAAUCCCAACACCGGAAUCCCAACGCUGAGAAUGCUGAUGGAUCUGUGGAGAGAUGGAAACUGUUUAAAUUUGUCAUUUUUAAUAAUAAAUUAUAAAUGUAAGUUUAAAUAAAGAUUAAGACGUUUUACAUUUUUAUAA
This is a long non-coding RNA of Pseudophryne corroboree (corroboree frog), 279 nucleotides long. RefSeq lists it as uncharacterized. The record is from RefSeq and is a predicted model, not a curated record. Lineage: Eukaryota; Metazoa; Chordata; Amphibia; Anura; Myobatrachidae. The transcript is spliced from 2 exons.